RNAcentral lists this ribosomal RNA (245 nucleotides) under uncultured bacterium. RNAcentral describes it as "partial 16S ribosomal RNA". It matches the Rfam family "Bacterial small subunit ribosomal RNA", at positions 524 to 768 of the family's 1533-position model. RNAcentral also lists the same sequence under 1 other name. The record is from RNAcentral.
UACGUAGGGAGCAAGCGUUGUCCGGAAUCAUUGGGCGUAAAGCGCGCGUAGGUGGCUUCGUAAGUCCGUUGUGAAAGUCAAAGGCUCAACCUUUGAAUGCCGAUGGAUACUGCGGAGCUAGAGUACGGAAGAGGCGAGUGGAAUUCCUGGUGUAGCGGUGGAAUGCGCAGAUAUCAGGAGGAACACCAAUAGCGAAGGCAGCUCGCUGGGACGUUACUGACACUAAGGCGCGAAAGCGUGGGGAG